CCUACGGGAGGCAGCAGUGGGGAAUAUUGGACAAUGGGGGGAACCCUGAUCCAGCGACGCCGCGUGAGUGAAGAAGUAUUUCGGUAUGUAAAGCUCUAUCAGCAGGGAAGAAAGAAAUGACGGUACCUGACUAAGAAGCCCCGGCUAACUACGUGCCAGCAGCCGCGGUAAUACGUAGGGGGCAAGCGUUAUCCGGAUUUACUGGGUGUAAAGGGAGCGUAGACGGCGAUGCAAGUCUGAAGUGAAAGGCGGGGCCCAACCCCCGGACUGCUUUGGAAACUGGAUGGCUGGAGUGCAGGAGAGGUAAGUGGAAUUCCUAGGGUAGCGGUGAAAUGCGUAGAGAUUAGGAGGAACACCAGUGGCGAAGGCGGCUUACUGGACUGUAACUGACGUUGAGGCUCGAAAGCGUGGGGAGCAAACAGGAUUAGAUACCCCUGGUAGUC
This 443-nucleotide ribosomal RNA is filed under the name uncultured bacterium. Its description in RNAcentral is "partial 16S ribosomal RNA". It matches the Rfam family "Bacterial small subunit ribosomal RNA", at positions 338 to 795 of the family's 1533-position model. The record is from RNAcentral.